UGAACAUUAAAGAGCAGGACGAACACACAGAGGAUUCAGUGAUGUGUGAGCAGGCUCUGGUCCACGUCCCCUCGGCGUCCUGCCCUAGUCGGGGUCACCUCACCGCCCUGCACCGAACAGCCACAGUGGGAAACAGCGACACAAUGGCUGCCCUGAUUCAUGGAGGCUGUGCUGUGGACCUACAGGACAGAGACGGAAACACGGCGCUACAUGAGGUCUCGUGGCAUGGCUUCACCCACUGUGUCAAACUGCUGACCAAGGCAGGAGCUGACGUCCACAUCAGGAACAAGGAAGGA
This is a long non-coding RNA of Cheilinus undulatus (humphead wrasse), 296 nucleotides long. RefSeq lists it as uncharacterized. NCBI's taxonomy places the organism in Eukaryota, Metazoa, Chordata, Actinopteri, Labriformes, Labridae. The transcript is spliced from 3 exons. The record is from RefSeq and is a predicted model, not a curated record.